UCACAGAGCUUGGACAGAGAAUUCCUUUAUCCACAUUGGCAUCUUCACCUGUGGGUUUCAAUCAGGCACCAGCUUACAUCUCAAUCUGGCCUUUUGGCUGUACGUCCUCCUUGCAAUCGCCAUCCUUUUCAUCAUUUUUUUCUCAUGUUUUCCCUUCUUCAGGGAGGUUAAUAAGCAAUGUAAGUGUCAAUGUGGAAUAUGUAUGCAUGGAAAGAGGAGAAGAGGUCUAUGACAAUGUCAGAACAUGAAGAAGUAUUUGGGACUCUGACUGAGCUAAGAUGAAUGCCCAGUCCUGCUCAGGUGCAGAUCUUUUCUGAUUAAUGGUGUGCAUAAGGAUAAAGAUGAAACUAUUAUAAAGAUGGACCUUCUAGCAGGACCAGGUCACCUUCUUCAGUCUCCUGGGAGAGAAGCUCUGAGAGGAGAGGAAAUUGGGCUGAGUGAAGAUCACUCACCUCUUGUGAAGGUGAUGGGGAAGGGAACCCAGGAAGUCUGCCCAAUAACUUCAGUUUGAGAAUGACCGAAUAUUAGGAAUCCCCUGCGAAUCCCCUGUGCUGUCAUGUCUCAGACAGGAGAGGGCUUCCAAGACCCUCCUUAUCUGUUUAUACUGAAAUUAAAUUGAUAGUAAAUACUUUGAUGUUCUCCA
Molecule: long non-coding RNA, 643 nt
Organism: Talpa occidentalis (Iberian mole)
Lineage: Eukaryota; Metazoa; Chordata; Mammalia; Eulipotyphla; Talpidae
Exons: 4
Source: RefSeq, a predicted model, not a curated record